Small nuclear RNA from Chionomys nivalis (European snow vole), 105 nucleotides. NCBI's taxonomy places the organism in Eukaryota, Metazoa, Chordata, Mammalia, Rodentia, Cricetidae. The record is from RefSeq and is a predicted model, not a curated record.
GUGCCGUCUUCGGCAGCACAUAUACUAAAAUUGUAACGAGACAGAGAAGAUGAGCGUGGCCCUGCACAAAGAGUGACUCCCAAUUCAACCACUGACCUUCUGUUC